ACCUAGCCCCGAUUGCAAUGGAAAUCCUUUUAUGAAUUUUUUAAAAAUUGAUAAAAGAUUGCAAUGGAAAGCGGGACUGCUU
This 82-nucleotide small RNA is filed under the name Halpernia frigidisoli. Its description in RNAcentral is "Flavo-1 RNA". It matches the Rfam family "Flavo-1 RNA". Lineage: Bacteria; Pseudomonadati; Bacteroidota; Flavobacteriia; Flavobacteriales; Weeksellaceae. The record is from Rfam by way of RNAcentral.